GGGGGAGGCACACAAGAAUUCCCUGAUAAUCCAAAACCGUGGCCUCAUAGGCGUCAUUUUCCUUCUGGGCCAGUGAAGGACCGCGUCCUGCGGCCCCUUCCCCGUCCGCACAGGAGCACGCACCGCCCCUCACUCUGAGCCUGGCCGUGAUACAGGCACCGGCCGCCCGCAGGCACCGGAGUGUGCCAGCGUUCUGGAAACUCGCCGCACUUCAGAGAGGAACUGACGCCGUGAUACCGACCCACAGGUACGAGAGGGAUGCUUCCAGCUCCCUCGAGUCCUGCGUGUCCCUCUGGCCUCGCCCCCCAGGAGCGUGAGUGUGGCACUGACAGCUGCUCGCAAGGUGCUCGGGUCACUGGCUGCAGUGUCAGCUGGACCCUUCACUGCGGGUGGCUGCAACCAGCUCAGCCGGGCGUGAGCCAAAACGGGCCUCUCCUGGCUCGUGAAACAGGAGCACACAGGACAGCUGACAGCAGGCCCACGGAGGGCCGAGCACCCGGACGACAGCCAGAGCCUGCCUCUGCAAGGUGGUCUCUGUCCCCCGUGGACUUUCCCCAGCUGGCGAGAUGACCCCAGCAGCUCCAGUUACCUCCUGUCAGACUCAGUGCUUCUGUCCAGGGACCUGUAAAGUCCUGGCCUGACACCAUCGGCUCCAGCCCCCGGGAGCUGUAGGUCCUUCUGGCCGAGCUCCGUGGGCCGCCACCUCUGCACGGCCCGACGAGUGCGCAGCCAGGCUCGGGAGGUGCUGCCGGCGCCCCACGCUGGAUCUUCCCUGCCCUUGGAGAGGCCUUGCGUCUGACGACACCAUGGGGUCUGACGACACCAUGGGGCAGGACAGAGGCCAGCAGCUGGCCCCGCCCCUCCGAGACCCACUCCUGCUCUGUCCCCAGGUACUCCAGCUUCUGGGCCAGGAUGCCUGCGUGUGACUUGGGCCGUUUCCUCACCUGUCAUGGGGCUGAGCUUGGUGUCAGGCCCGGGACAUAGGACAGCCCUCGAGGUAUGGUCUCCAGUGCCCAGCUGCCCCGUGACUCCCAUCUCUGCACGUGCUGGGUGUGGGACAUGGGAAAAGUUGUGAACCUCUCUGAGCCCGUUUCCUCUGUGAAACGUCAAUACCCACCUCGUCAGAUUGUGAGAGGAACAGAUGAGUUAAUGUGUGUGAAGCACAGAGGCCAGCGCCUGGCAUAAACGUUAGAAACGGGUUAGCCAUCAGCAUCGCAAUCGGUCAUCGUUGGCAUGGCCCUGUUCCCCUUGCACUGACUGGUUUAGUCAUGGGUGUGUGACCCGGUUCCUUUUAUCUUAAAAGAGACACAGAAGAGACAACCACCUGCUCACACACACCUUAGCCUGGAGAUGGUCCUGUUUGGAUGUGAUGCCUGGAAUGGUGGUGGCCAUCUUGCAACGAGGCCUGAUCCUGGAUGGCCACAUGGGAGGAGGAUGUACACCAGGACAAAACUGGGGCUCUCAGCCCCACCCCGUGGCCAAGUGGUUAAGUUCGCACGCUCUGCUUCUGCGGCCCAGGGUUUCACUGGUUCGAAUCCUGGGCGCAGACAUGACACCGUUCAUCAAGCCACGCUGAGGCGGCAUCCCACAUGCCACAACUAGAAGGACCCAUAACUAAAAAUAUAUAACUUUGUACUGGGGGGCUUUGGGAGA
Equus asinus (donkey) is the source of this 1653-nucleotide long non-coding RNA. The record is from Ensembl. Lineage: Eukaryota; Metazoa; Chordata; Mammalia; Perissodactyla; Equidae.